Molecule: long non-coding RNA, 1566 nt
Filed under: Marmota monax (woodchuck)
Lineage: Eukaryota; Metazoa; Chordata; Mammalia; Rodentia; Sciuridae
Source: RNAcentral
CCUUAGCCAUAGGGCCCGAUCCCCUCAAGCCAGGAAUUGGGCCUCAUAGACCUCCCGAACCUAAAUCUACUAGGAUCCCUUCACUUUCCCAUACUCCUCAAGUUUCACCUUCGUUUACUUCCCCAAUCCAGAGUGAAGUCAACCCCUCCCCCUGGGGGCUAAUUGAAGGAGCCUUUGCAGUACUGAACUCCAUGAACCAGACCUCACUCAGUCUUGUUGGCUCUGUCUCUCCGCUGCUCCUCCUUACUAUGAAGGGAUAGCAAUUGACGGGACUUAUGCAGUAAAAGUGCAGAGUUCCUCCUGUAAUUGGGGUGGAAAUCCUAAGUUAACCCUCCCAGAAGUAACCAGGACAGGCUUAUGUAUAGGGUCCCCACCUAAAAGUAAACAACACUUAUGUACCCAGAUAAAAAAAAUUAGCACCACACAGGGUUUCCUUACCCCUGAAAAUGGAACCUGGUGGGCAUGUGACUCAGGGUUAACUCCUUGCAUUUCAGCCCAGGUAUUUAACAGCUCUGUAAAUUAUUGUGUAAUGGUGCAGAUGUUUCCCAGAGUGCUCUAUUAUGACGCACGUUCGUUUGAAGAUCAAAUAGGGGGGCAUACAACCCGGUUCCGCCGGGAACCUGUAUCCCUCACUUUAGCCAUCCUAUUAGGAAUAGGAGUUGCUGCAGGGGUGGGCACAGGGACCACUGCCCUGGUCCAUGGGACACAACAAAUGACCCAAUUAGAAGCAGCAAUAGACCAAAACUUAAAGAUAUUAGAAACCUCCAUCACAGCUUUGCAGGAAUCUUUAACCUCUCUCUCUGAAGUUGUUUUACAGAACAGGCGAGGGUUGGACCUCCUCUUCAUGAGAGAAGGGGGCCUUUGUGCUGCAUUGAGGGAAGAAUGUUGUUUUUAUGCCUACCAUACUGGAGUUGUAAAAGAAUCUAUGAGUAAAUUAAGAAGACGCCUUGAAGAGCGUCAGCGAGAGAGAGAGGCCCAAAAAGGGUGGUUUGAGUCUUGGUUCACACAGUCCCCCUGGUUAACUACGCUUUUAUCAGCUCUGGCCGGUCCAUUAAUAAUCCUCAUAUUAUUGCUAACUGUAGGACCCUGUUUGCUCAACCGUGUAAUUUCCUUUCUCCAAGCUCAAAUUGGACAAGUUAAACUUAUGGUAAUCAGACAACAAUAUGCCUCACUGGCAGAAAUAGAAUGUGAUACCCCUCAAUAAUUAUGAUUUCUUACUUUUAAGAUUAAAAGUAGUCAGAAAAAGAAGUGGGGAAUGAAAAGGUUAAGAAUGUAAGAAUUAAGUUCUGUUUUCCUGGAACCUGAAACUCAUGUAGAAGUUGAAAACAACUCCCGGAAAUGCCCAUUGAUCAUCUGGUUGCUCUACGAAAACAACCCCCUCCCAGAAACCGUGCAAUGAUUGGCUAUGCUGUAUGUGAUGUCCCUGCCCUCUCCAAGGAAAGUAUAUAAGCUCUGCUUAAGCUGUUCCCGGGGCUCUCUCUCUCUCUGCUCUAUUCAAGUGAGCUCUGAGCCCCAGCAUGCUGGACCCCCAAUAAACCCUUUGCUGUUGCAUGAGACAGGCUCUUG